GACGAACGCUGGCGGCGUGCUUAACACAUGCCAGUCGAACGGAAAGGCCCUGCUUUUGUGGGGUGCUCGAGUGGCGAACGGGUGAGUAACACGUGAGUAACCUGCCCUUGACUUUGGGAUAACUUCAGGAAACUGGGGCUAAUACCGGAUAGGAGCUCCUGCUGCAUGUUGGGGGUUGGAAAGUUUCGGCGGUUGGGGAUGGACUCGCGGCUUAUCAGCUUGUUGGUGGGGUAGUGGCUUACCAAGGCUUUGACGGGUAGCCGGCCUGAGAGGGUGACCGGCCACAUUGGGACUGAGAUACGGCCCAGACUCCUACGGGAGGCAGCAGUGGGGAAUAUUGCACAAUGGGCGGAAGCCUGAUGCAGCAACGCCGCGUGCGGGAUGACGGCCUUCGGGCUGUAAACCGCUUUCGCCUGUGACGAAGCGUGAGUGACGGUAAUGGGUAAAGAAGCACCGGCUAACUACGUG
RNAcentral lists this ribosomal RNA (468 nucleotides) under uncultured bacterium. RNAcentral's name for it is "partial 16S ribosomal RNA". It matches the Rfam family "Bacterial small subunit ribosomal RNA", at positions 28 to 507 of the family's 1533-position model. The record is from RNAcentral.